CCGAAAUUAGAAAGAGAAGGAGAGAGAGAGAGGCGUGAAAGAGAGAGAAGGAAGAGAAGAAAUGAAGAAGAAGGAGGAGGUCUUAGGGUAUUCAAGGGUGAUUAUCACUUGGGUGUUGAUCAUGUUGUGUUCUUGAUUUUACAAUCAAGAGAGGCUCGUUGAGAAGUUGUGGUUUUACUUUGCUUGGACCUGAGGUAAGGAAGUUAGAUAGAAUUUAUGAUUAUUAUACUAUGAAUGGUAAGACUGUUGUGUGAAUGAAAAUGUUAUGAAUUAUGAAUGCUAUAAUGUGAUGAUAUGUUGGCUUGUAUGAAUGGAUGUUAGCGUGAUAAACGCGGCACAUCAAAAUGGGUUGCUAAGGAUAUGAAGACGUAACCCGAGUUACUAAGGAUAAGAAGACGUAACUCCAAGGGCACGCGCUGAGGUUAUUCAAGGACCAGAGACUCCUAUUUACCUCAAAGGGUGGCAUGGACAAGUUAGCAGGCCAUGUUCAAAAGGAAUUGUUUAUGAUUAUGUUAUGAUGUUUGGUGAUGUUUAUGAUUAUGUUAUGAUGUUUGGUGAUGUUUAUGAUUAUGUUAUAAUGUUUUGUUAUUUUAUGAUGAUGCUAUGAUGUAUAAAGAUGAAUGAUGGUGUUUGUAAUUUGUUGUAUCUUACUUGCUUGUUGUUUGUACUUCCCUACUGGGAUUUUAGCUCACCCCCUUACUUUCCCUUCCAGGUAGCAAAUAGGUUUCUCUGUGGCACGCGUGGUGAUGUGGGGAGUUCUGUCGUCCUGGUGUGUAUGGCGUGGGGCAUCCUAUGGACGAGAAACGAUGUUAUGUUUUAUGGAAUUUUCUUAAAAUUGUUAGUGGGACUUAAUUUUUUUGUUUGUUUUAGAACUUUGCAUGAAAAUGAUAUUUUCUUUUUAAACGUUUGGGCCCAACUUGCAUUUUUUAAGUGAGACCCCACUUAAACCUUUAUAAUAAGUGGCUUUCUAUUAUAAACCAUUGAAAAUGUGAAUGUUUUAUUAAGUACUAGUUAAUGGCGUUUUACAAUACCCUCUGUUAUCCAAAAAAAUAGGCACAGGUGAUGUGGCAAACGUUUUCAAACACGUGGCUGCACCUGGCAGAGGUUCUGUUCGACCAUCGACCAGUAAGAUUCUCCUAGCGUAACAUUUGAAGUUUCUAUACGACCAGCGUGGUCGUAUACUCCGCGUAUUUCAAAGUGAUCUUGGGUAAAUCAUAAUCAAUUCCGAGAUUAUCUCCUAUGAUUCCUGAUUAUCCGAUUAAUUAAGAACAAAUAUCUGUAAAAAAUUCAUGUAAUCCUCCUUGAGCCUAUAAAUAGAGAAAGAUAGCUCAAGGAAGGGACUUUUGGCAUUUGGUUGAUUGAAGCUAUACACUUAGAAGAGAAUUAGAGCUAUUGUAUUACGAUUGUAUUAUUUUAUCUCUCUCAGGCUGGUGAAACUCAGAGAACCCUAGUUCUUUUAUCACUCCUUUGAGAGCUCAUAUCAAUAAUAGCUUAAGUGGACGUAGGUCAUUACCAGUUCUUGGGGUCGAACCAGUAUAAUUUACUGUGUUCUUUACUGUUUUUGUCAUUAUAUCUCUUCCAACACAUUUAUCCAUAUCAAGCGUUUGACUCCGUGUCAGUUGACCAAAACGAGGGUCAACAUUCUGGUGCUUUCAUUGAGAGCUUGAUACGUGAUUGUUGAAGCAUUAAUGGCGAAAACAACAAAGAAGACUGGGCAGGCGGCUAGCGCUGCACCAUCUCAACCUCCUCCUCCUCCAAACAUGGCUGAAAAUGAGCCACACUUGGAAUUUGAAGAGGAGGAACUGGAUUCCGAGACGCUGAGAAGUACCUUGGGGGUAUUGCAAGAUGAACUGGCCAAUCUGAGGGCCAGCCAAGAAAGUGCUGCGGAGAUUAUGGCACGGCAGCAACAAGAGAUAGAGCGUCAGCGCCAGGAGCUAAGUGAGAGACAAGCGGAGAUGGACCAUCGUCAGAGGGAGGCCAUGGCAGCCCUUGAAGUAGCCCUGCAGUUGGCUAGGAAUCAGGCUGCACCUGCCUCACAGCCUGGUCAACCCUCAAAUGGGCCACCCCAAAGGGGUCCCAAUCCUAGCCCUUCGAUCUAGUCGUCGAGCCCUCAAAGGCCCGAGCAGCCACCAAUGCCUCAGGAUGAUGUCCCACCAAGGGAUCCUGAAGCGCAGCCUCCAUCCCAGGCUGGUCGAGGCAAUCCCCCGCAGCCAAAGCAGAAUAGGGCCGGGCAGCAGCCCCGUAGUCCUAGACGCCAUAGGGGUGAAGAGCCGAACCCACCAAGCAGGGGACAACGUCCUUCUGGCAACAGAAGGAACUCAGAGAUAAGCUCUGCGGUCUGGGGCCCCCCACGGCAUGAUAAUGCACGGGGACCCACCGACCAACGUAGGCCACCCUCUAACGCUCGGGAAAUUCCUGCCCGAGGAGGCAACCGAGGGGAUAGUCGGUCCCACCAUAGCCAAUCAAGAUUCAAAGAUGGCCAUGGUUACAACGAGGCCGACUCAGGCAGAGGAAAUGCCGGUCAGAGAAACGAAGAGAGAGGUGGGGGCAGAAGCCCACCACCACCUAGAGAAGACC
This is a long non-coding RNA of Humulus lupulus (European hop), 2577 nucleotides long. RefSeq lists it as uncharacterized. NCBI's taxonomy places the organism in Eukaryota, Viridiplantae, Streptophyta, Magnoliopsida, Rosales, Cannabaceae. The transcript has 3 exons. The record is from RefSeq and is a predicted model, not a curated record.